CAGCCCCUCGAGUGGUGGGGAUGAUUAUUUGGCCUAAAGCGUCCGUAGCCUGCCGGGUAAGUUUCCCGUUAAAUCCAGCGUCUCAAGCGUUGGACUGCGGGAAAUACUGCCUGGCUAGAGAGUGGGAGAGGUCAGCGGUAUUCUGGGGGUAGGGGCGAAAUCCUUUGAUCCCCGGAGGACCACCAGUGGCGAAGGCUGCUGACUAGAACACGUCUGACGGUCAGGGACGAAAGCUGGGGUAGCGAACCGGAUUAGAUACCCGAGUAGUCC
Molecule: ribosomal RNA, 270 nt
Filed under: uncultured archaeon
Lineage: Archaea
Description: partial 16S ribosomal RNA
Rfam family: Archaeal small subunit ribosomal RNA
Source: RNAcentral